UACAGAGACUGCAAGCGUUAUUCGGAUUCACUGGGCGUAAAGGGUGCGCAGGCGGUUCUGCAAGUCAGGCGUGAAAGCCCCGGGCUUAACCUGGGAAUGGCGCUUGAAACUACAGGACUGGAGUAUGGCAGAGGGAGGUGGAAUUCCACGUGUAGCGGUGAAAUGCGUAGAGAUGUGGAGGAACACCGAUGGCGAAGGCAGCCUCCUGGGCCAAUACUGACGCUCAUGCACGAAAGCGUGGGGAGCAAACAGG
This 253-nucleotide ribosomal RNA is filed under the name uncultured bacterium. RNAcentral's name for it is "partial 16S ribosomal RNA". It matches the Rfam family "Bacterial small subunit ribosomal RNA", at positions 524 to 776 of the family's 1533-position model. The record is from RNAcentral.